GACUACUGGGGUAUCUAAUCCUGUUUGCUCCCCACGCUUUCGUGUCUCAGCGUCAGGUAUGUUCCAGAGCGCCGCCUUCGCCACCGGCCUUCCUCCCGAUCUCUACGCAUUUCACCGCUACACCGGGAAUUCCGCGCUCCUCUCCCACCCUCUAGCCUGGCAGUACCCUCUGCGCUUUCCGGGUUGGGCCCGAAGCUUUAACAGAAGGCUUACCAAACCGCCUACACACCCUGUACGCCCAGUGAAUCCGAACAACGCUUGCCACCUUCGUAUUACCGCGGCUGCUGGCACGAAGUUGGCCGUGGCUGCUUCUGGAGGUACCGUCCGAACGAUUGCUCGCUCCAUCUUCCCUCCCGAAAGGGGUUUACAAUCCGAAGACCUUCAUCCCCCACGCGGCGUCGCUGCGUCAGGCUUUCGCCCAUUGCGCAAUAUUCCUUACUGCAGCCCCCCGUAGG
RNAcentral lists this ribosomal RNA (455 nucleotides) under uncultured Nitrospira sp. RNAcentral's name for it is "partial 16S ribosomal RNA". The record is from RNAcentral. Lineage: Bacteria; Pseudomonadati; Nitrospirota; Nitrospiria; Nitrospirales; Nitrospiraceae.